RNAcentral lists this long non-coding RNA (3652 nucleotides) under Marmota monax (woodchuck). Lineage: Eukaryota; Metazoa; Chordata; Mammalia; Rodentia; Sciuridae. The record is from RNAcentral.
UCCAACCUCUCCACGUCAGCUAAACUUAGAGGCUAGAAUGGCUUUAAGGAGAGUUGAACAUGCAAUUAAAAAUGCACAGCUUACUAGAGUUGAUCCUAAAGAAAUAGUGUAUUUAUUAAUAUUUCCAACUGAGCAUACUCCAACAGGAGCCAUAUGGCAAAGAUUAGGAGUUAUUGAGUGGAUUUAUUUAUCCCACUCUCCUGAAAAGACAUUAAUUCCUUUUCAUGAUUCUAUAGCUCAAUUAGUAAUUAAAGGUAGAACUAGGAUUUUACAGUUAAUUGGAUCUGAGCCUGAUAUCAUAAUUAUUCUAUUUUCUAUUCAACAGACUAAUUGGCUUUUUCAAACUUCUAGCUCAUGGCAGAUAGCUUUUGCUGAUUUUGCUGGCCAGAUAGAUAGCCAUUAUCCUCGUGAUAAGAUUAUACAAUUUGCAUCAUUAACGUCACUUAUUUUUCCAAAGAUUGUAAGUGCACAUCCUAUAGAUGAAGCUUUAUCAGUGUUCACGGAUGGUUCUAACUCAGGUAAAGCAUGUUUUUAUAGUCGUGUUCACACAGAGGUAAUACAAACUUCUUAUACUUCUGCCCAAAGAGCAGAGCUUCAAGCUCUGAUUUGUGCCUUAAAUUACUUUUCUAAUGAGCCUAUUAAUAUUUAUUCUGACAGCUUAUAUGCAGUCGGAGUUACUAAAAAUAUUGAAACUUUAGUUAUUGGGUAUACUUCAUCACAAGAGUUAUUUGAGUUAUUUCAUAAUUUACAAAAGACAGUGCUAAUGCGAAAGCACCCAUGUUUCAUAGGGCACAUACAGGCUCAUACUAAUCUUCCAGGACCCUUAGUUUCAGGUAAUGACAAGAUUGAUAAAUUAGUAACUUUUUGUCAACAGAUGUCUUCAUAUGACUGUGCACUAGCUUCCCAUUCCUUGCAUCAUCAAAAUGCUUCUAGCUUACAUAAAAAAUUUAAUAUUACUAGAGAACAAGCUCGUCAGAUUGUAAGCCAGUGCCCUAAGUGUGUUAUUCACACUCCAUCUCUACCAUCAGGGGUAAACCCCCGUGGAUUAAAACCAAAUCAAAUAUGGCAAAUGGAUGUAACUCAUAUUCCUCAAUUUGGUAAACAAUGUUAUGUGCAUGUCAUAGUGGACACUUAUUCUAGAUUUAUUUUUGCCACAGCACGUACUAAGGAAAAUACUCAACAUGUAAUUUCUCAUUGCUUAGCAGCCUUUUCUGUUUUAGGGUGCCCUAUACAGAUUAAAACAGAUAAUGUUCCAGCUUAUGUAAGCUCUUCUUUUCAACAAUUUUGCCAAGAGUUUAAAAUUAAUCAUAAAACAGGAAUUCCUUAUAACCCUCAAGGCCAAGCCAUUGUGGAACGAGCUCAUUUAUCUAUUAAGCUUCAAUUACAAAAAUUAAAGGGGGGGAAUAGGUUUAUGACUCCCCAAAAUAGGAGCCCCUAUCCAGAAGGAGGAGAUAUCGGAAAAGGAUGAAGAAAGACCAGAUUGACCCAGCCGAAAAGCUGAUUUCAUGGGAAGACGUGAAGAAGCUAACAACCCAGGCUUCCCGAAUACUUCGACACCUAAGAGAGAACAGGACCCCAGUGAUGAUGGUAGCAACAGUAAUUGCCCUGUUGGGCUGUCAGGUAAAGGGGGAUCAAGUAGACACUUACUGGACAUAUUUCCCAGAUCCACCCCUGGUACACCCAGCUGUGUGGACUGGAGAAUCUAUUCCAGUAUUUACUAAUGACUCAUUCAUGAUGGGAGGAUUUACAGAUACUCAUAUUACUCCCAAUCAUGUGACUAGAUUUAAUUAUUCUGGCUACAGUGCCCAAUUACCUUUGUGUUGGUCACACGAUAAACAUGCUGGCUGUCUGAAAGUAUCAUUCGAAGAAAAGACAGCGAUUGGUAGACCUAGACUGACAAAUAAUUGUAUUUAUGGGGACUUAAGACCUUAUACUAGAUCAGUAAUUAAGAUGGGACUUUCCCAUAACAAGCCAGUCAUUUCUGCAAAACCUCCACAGAUACCCCACUGUCCAAAUAGUUCUACAAUUGAGAUUGGCACCUUUCCUAGAUGGAUGGAUUGUGUAAAUACCUUUCCUGUACAACAUAAGGUGUCUAAAGAUAGUGGGUAUAUUUUAGACUGGUCUCCAAAAAUUGAUAAGAGACAAUUACGAAGAAAUUCUGCUAUGACUCCUGCAGGAUUUGUUAGUAAUAUUUUAACUUAUAGUGAAGGUGGUGUUCAGAAAGAUGUUUGGCGUUUAAUUGCUGCCUCAAAAUUCUUACAUUUUACAGACAAACCUUUACCAAAAUUUGUUGGCAAGAACUGUAAAGAGGGAUCUUGCUAUGGCUUACGAGCCUGUGUCCAAUCUCCUUAUGUUUUAAUUAUUGGAAAUGUAAAAGUUAAAUGGAUAGAUGACAGAUAUAUUGUUACUUGUAAUAAAUGCAACCUAACCAAUUGUAUUACUAGGUAUAAUGGAGGAAAAGGAGUGCUGAUACUUCAUCAGCCCUCUUUCAUUUUAUUACCUGCUAAUAUUUCAGAGCCAUGGUAUGCUGAUACUGGUUUACAAGUCUUGCAGCAAAUUCAUGCCCAGUUAGCAAGACCUAAACGUGCUAUUGGAGUUAUAAUUGUUGGUGUUUUGGCGCUAGUCUCCUUUAUUGCCUCAACUGUCUCUGCGUCUCUGACAUUGUCUCAGAAUAUUCAGCAUGCAAAAUUUCUUAAUAAUUUAGCUCAAAAUACUUCCAAGGCUCUGCGUAAUCAAGUAAAUAUUGAUGAAAGGAUUGAGACUAAAUUAAACACCUUAGAGGCGACUGUUAUAGACAUAGGUAAUGAACUUUCAGCCUUAAAAUUUAAGGAAAGGCUUAAAUGCCAUGCCAAUUAUAAGUAUGUUUGUGUUACAGCUGCCAAGUACAAUGCUUCUCUCUGGGAUUGGGAGAAGGUUAAAAACCAUUUGUUAGGUAUUUGGCAAAAUAGUAAUAAUAGCUUGGAUAUUCUGGAACUUCAUCACCAUAUCCAAGACAUUCAAAAUAAUAGAGCUGAUUUUUCAGAUCCUUCUUCUUUGGCAAACAAAAUAUUAAAGGAGUUGAAUGGAUUCAACCCUGGAAAUAUUCUUAAACACUCGGCCUGGUACAUUAUUGGAUUAUUCUCUUUGCUGUUAAUUCUCUUUUGUGUUGUAAUUAUAGGAUGGCGAGUCUUCGGAACAAGAAUACAGAAACUCCAAAGAGUGAACCGCCGCCUCAUUUUUAAGAAUAAAAAGGGGGAAUAUGUGGGUGACUCCCGGUUUGGGUCUGAGGCUUCUGGCUGUGUCGGAAUUUUCCCAGCCCUCUCCUGAUGAGAGAACCCAUCCGUGUGGGGGUGUGACUAACCACUGACCCCGGGGGCCCAAUCACUGACCCUGACCUUGGAGUGCGGCCCCCCCUCAACCUUCAUUGGAUGGAAUUAUCCCCUGAAUUUCUUGUUCCCCAAUAAAAGGCUACUCCCAGGCGUGUUCACUCUCUCUCUCUCCUGCUAGCCCUGAGUAAUCCUUGCUGCCCUGCUGGGCGGUUAGAGGUUGGAGCCAGAGAGGGGAGCCGUCUCGGACCUGGCAAUAGAAAUAAGGUAACUGAGUCUGUGUGUUUUAUUUCGAUCUCUUCUAGCUAACUUUUAUGCCAAGAACCUCAUUAAUGAAACCAUUGCGC